GACGAACGCUGGCGGCGUGCUUAACACAUGCAAGUCGAACGGAAAGGCCCUGCUUUUGUGGGGUGCUCGAGUGGCGAACGGGUGAGUAACACGUGAGUAACCUGCCCUUGACUUUGGGAUAACUUCAGGAAACUGGGGCUAAUACCGGAUAGGAGCUCCUGCUGCAUGGUGGGGGUUGGAAAGUUUCGGCGGUUGGGGAUGGACUCGCGGCUUAUCAGCUUGUUGGUGGGGUAGUGGCUUACCAAGGCUUUGACGGGUAGCCGGCCUGAGAGGGUGGCCGGCCACAUUGGGACUGAGAUACGGCCCAGACUCCUACGGGAGGCAGCAGUGGGGAAUAUUGCACAAUGGGCGGAAGCCUGAUGCAGCAACGCCGCGUGCGGGAUGACGGCCUUCGGGUUGUAAACCGCUUUCGCCCGUGACGAAGCGUGAGUGACGGUAAUGGGUAAAGAAGCACCGGCUAACUACGUG
This 468-nucleotide ribosomal RNA is filed under the name uncultured bacterium. RNAcentral's name for it is "partial 16S ribosomal RNA". It matches the Rfam family "Bacterial small subunit ribosomal RNA", at positions 28 to 507 of the family's 1533-position model. The record is from RNAcentral.